AGCAUUUAACUGUUGUCCUGAUGC
This 24-nucleotide non-coding RNA is filed under the name Arabidopsis thaliana (thale cress). The record is from RNAcentral. Lineage: Eukaryota; Viridiplantae; Streptophyta; Magnoliopsida; Brassicales; Brassicaceae.